Long non-coding RNA from Homo sapiens (human), 763 nucleotides. The record is from Ensembl. Lineage: Eukaryota; Metazoa; Chordata; Mammalia; Primates; Hominidae.
GCCAAGCUGUCACCGAAGAAGGCGUAGAGCUCCCGGUAGAUGUCGGCCAGGGUCACCGAAAGAGAAGGGUCCUCCGGCCCCGCGCCCCCUGGCGGCAGCGGGAGGCCGGACCCAAAGCUGGGUUCUGCACCGCCCCCGGAGGACGACUCUUGAAAGAGAAGGCUGUCCCAUGGCAGGUCGUCCAGGCGCCGGCACCCCCUGCCACCUGGGCCACCCCUGUUGGGCUCUGCUGCCUGGGCCUUCAUCUUCAGCAGUCGCUCUACCGCCACCUGUAAGAGCCAAGGACUAAGAUAGGCAAAAAAUUCGAGGAACCUGGGCCCAUCAAAUAUUCCAAAGUAAGCCUGCUUGGCUGCUAAGCUCAUGCAGGGAAGGGAGGCUGGAAGGGGACGGUACUCACCAGAAUGGCUCCAUAGACUUUGUGUCCAUCUGCUUUGACCUGGGCAUUAGAUACUGAAUAAUCAUCCAGCACAGCCUGCAAGUUUGUCCAGUAGGUGGACAGGUGUGGGUACAGGACUCGUUCUACUGCCUGGAAGGAAGAGAAGGAAUACAGUUAGCAUGUCUUUGAUACUUAUUCCCUCUCAAGGACCCUUUCCCAUGAAAGACCUACCUUUAUCUCUGAUCCUAGACAGGGCUCAAUCCUCCUAAAUUCCCUGAUUGGCAUAUUCAACCAUAUAUUUAUUUGGAACCUACUGUAUACCUAAGCUAGGCAUUGGGAAUAAAGAUAAGGUACAAAGGGAGACAAUAAAAAAUAUACCCAAUAUCA